RNAcentral lists this ribosomal RNA (253 nucleotides) under uncultured bacterium. RNAcentral describes it as "partial 16S ribosomal RNA". It matches the Rfam family "Bacterial small subunit ribosomal RNA", at positions 524 to 776 of the family's 1533-position model. The record is from RNAcentral.
UACGUAGGGACCGAGCGUUGUCCGGAAUCAUUGGGCGUAAAGAGCGUGUAGGCGGCUGGGUAGGUCCGUUGUGAAAACUCGAGGCUCAACCUCGAGACGCCGAUGGAAACCCCCCAGCUAGAGUCCGGAAGAGGAGAGUGGAAUUCCUGGUGUAGCGGUGAAAUGCGCAGAUAUCAGGAAGAACACCCGUGGCUAAGGCGGCUCUCUAGUACGGUACUGACGCUGAGACGCGAAAGCGUGGGGAGCGAACAGG